Molecule: transfer RNA, 72 nt
Organism: Porphyromonas macacae
Lineage: Bacteria; Pseudomonadati; Bacteroidota; Bacteroidia; Bacteroidales; Porphyromonadaceae
Rfam family: tRNA
About the family: Transfer RNA (tRNA) molecules are approximately 80 nucleotides in length.
Source: Rfam
GCCAAUGUAGCUCAGCGGUAGAGCACUUCCUUGGUAAGGAAGAGGUCCCGGGUUCAAGUCCCGGCAUCGGCU